This 506-nucleotide ribosomal RNA is filed under the name uncultured bacterium. Its description in RNAcentral is "partial 16S ribosomal RNA". It matches the Rfam family "Bacterial small subunit ribosomal RNA", at positions 29 to 523 of the family's 1533-position model. The record is from RNAcentral.
AGUGAACGCUGGCGGUAGGCCUAACACAUGCAAGUCGAACGGCAGCACAGGAGAGCUUGCUCUCUGGGUGGCGAGUGGCGGACGGGUGAGGAAUACAUCGGAAUCUACUUUUUCGUGGGGGAUAACGUAGGGAAACUUACGCUAAUACCGCAUACGACCUACGGGUGAAAGCAGGGGACCUUCGGGCCUUGCGCGGAUAGAUGAGCCGAUGUCGGAUUAGCUAGUUGGCGGGGUAAAGGCCCACCAAGGCGACGAUCCGUAGCUGGUCUGAGAGGAUGAUCAGCCACACUGGAACUGAGACACGGUCCAGACUCCUACGGGAGGCAGCAGUGGGGAAUAUUGGACAAUGGGCGCAAGCCUGAUCCAGCCAUACCGCGUGGGUGAAGAAGGCCUUCGGGUUGUAAAGCCCUUUUGUUGGGAAAGAAAAGCAGCCAGUUAAUACCUGGUUGUUCUGACGGUACCCAAAGAAUAAGCACCGGCUAACUUCGUGCCAGCCGCCGCAGUAA